This 253-nucleotide ribosomal RNA is filed under the name uncultured bacterium. Its description in RNAcentral is "partial 16S ribosomal RNA". It matches the Rfam family "Bacterial small subunit ribosomal RNA", at positions 524 to 776 of the family's 1533-position model. The record is from RNAcentral.
UACGUAGGGGGCGAGCGUUGUCCGGAAUGACUGGGCGUAAAGGGUGCGUAGGCGGCCCGAGAGGUCCUGGGUGAAAGGCCCCGGCUCAACCGGGGAGGGCCCCAGGAAACCGGCGGGCUAGAGGGCUGGAGAGGGCCGCGGAAUUCCCGGUGUAGCGGUGAAAUUCGUAGAUAUUGGGAAGAACACCGGUGGCGAAGGCGGCGACCUGGUCCGGGACUGACGCUGAGGCGCGAAAGCGUGGGGAGCAAACAGG